GACGAACGCUGGCGGCGUGCUUAACACAUGCAAGUCGAACGGAAAGGCCCUGCGCUUGCGGGGUGCUCGAGUGGCGAACGGGUGAGUAACACGUGAGUAACCCGCCCUUGUCUUUGGGAUAACUCCAGGAAACAGGGGCUAAUACCGGAUAGGAUAUCCUGCUGCAUGGGGUGGGAUGGAGAAUGACGGCGGUGGGGGAUGGACUCGCUGCUUAUGCGCUGGUUUGUGGGGUAGUGGCUGUCCAAGGUUACGACGGGUAGCCGGCAUGAGAGGUUGACCGGCCACAUUGGGACUGAGAUACGGACCAGAAUCGUACGGGAGGCAGAAGUGGGGAGUCUUGCACAAUGGGCGGAAGUCUGAUGCAGCAACGCCGCGUGCGGGAUGACGGCCUUCGGGUUGUAAACAGCUUUCGCAUGUGACGAAGAGUGAGUGACGGUAAUGGGUAAAGAAGCACCGGCUAACUACGUG
RNAcentral lists this ribosomal RNA (468 nucleotides) under uncultured bacterium. RNAcentral describes it as "partial 16S ribosomal RNA". It matches the Rfam family "Bacterial small subunit ribosomal RNA", at positions 28 to 507 of the family's 1533-position model. The record is from RNAcentral.